UAUGAAUCAUCGCAGCUGAGACUAUAAUAUUUUUCCCAGUUACGUCAAAAAGAUUUUUUUUUUUGGAGGCACAAGAAUACUUUUAUUGAAUCAUUACUUUUAUUUUUAUUUAUUUAUUUCAUUUUGAUCUUUUAAAAAGAUAACAUGUCGCAUAUCAUGCAAAAAUUCAGCCUCGUGCUUCUUCCAGCUUGCGUUUUGUUCGGUUUGAUUUUUCUGAAUCAACACCAGCAGCAAUUAUAAUUCGGUUAAGAAAUUGCAAACAGUUGAUAUAUUUCAUGAAUUUAAGUUUCUGGUUUGCCUAUGAUGCAUUUCCUAUUACACAUUAUCAGAGAUUAAAGAUGAUGAUAUGAAAUUGUCACUACCUCUGAGCAAUUUACCAUGAAUUAUUAUCUAGAUUAUUUUAGAUAUUGUUGCAC
Molecule: long non-coding RNA, 416 nt
Filed under: Olea europaea (common olive)
Lineage: Eukaryota; Viridiplantae; Streptophyta; Magnoliopsida; Lamiales; Oleaceae
Description: long non-coding RNA (OEUR_LNC008268)
Source: RNAcentral